UGUAGCAGCCUGUGGCUAUAAAAGUCCGGGCGCGGCUUCCGUUCGUUCUUUCCUUGCUGUUGGUGUGUGCGGAGCAUCUCUCUCCAUCUGGCUGUGCGCUGCGUCCUCUCCUUGUCUCUCCUGCACUUACAGGCCGCGGCAUCAGCAUGGGACUCGGUGCGGCAGGGGAUGGGGCGCAGGCCACAGGACCUGGAUGAGCGCGUUACUGCAGCUGGUAACUGACCUGAAUGGUGACUGGUUCGGAAAUAAGAUGUACAAUCACAGGAAAGCAACUUCCAAGGGGUGGCUAGUGCUGUUGCUGUACAUAAUACGACAGGCAAUGACAUGUUAGGCUGUCCUGGUGAGAAUGCAGUUUGUGCCUCUCUGCAUGGGCACUUGUAGUUGCAGGAAAUGGAUUGCAGAUCGGCAAUUCAGAUGUGAACGGCCCUAUAUAGCCAGGAAUUGUACAAUUGCAGGGUGCUGCAAGUCUAACAGAAGCCUUGAAGGUGCUCGACCAUCGUGAUCUGAGACAGGAUAUCUACAACACAGAUUAUACCCAUGGCCAAAUUUUUUUCACAGCAUUUGACACUGAUGGGAAUUCUGUUAAUGCGCAGAUCAGCAGUGCUGUAAUGUAGUGAUUACUUUAAGAUUCCUUUGAUCUGUGCAUGACAAUGGGGCUCUGGUAACGGCUUAUCUGAAACCUAUGAGGAUAUUUUUGUAUUACAACUUAAAUUCUUAUGAUGCAGAUAGUAUGUUCAUUAGUCAGUUUAUAGCUUCCCAACACUUGAGUUGUCAAUCCUUUUGCACUUCCUUAUAAAUAUGUAAUUACCUAUAUCUCCUAAGAUUUGAUGGUUGACAAUAUGGUACCAAUAAAAAUUUGUCAGUUUA
This is a long non-coding RNA of Pseudophryne corroboree (corroboree frog), 867 nucleotides long. RefSeq lists it as uncharacterized. The transcript is spliced from 6 exons. The record is from RefSeq and is a predicted model, not a curated record. Lineage: Eukaryota; Metazoa; Chordata; Amphibia; Anura; Myobatrachidae.